UGCUGCAGUCCAAGGCAAAAGAUGAGAUUGCAGCAUACAAGCGGGAAUCCUCACUCACAGGUGAGCAAAAUACUAUGGCCUACCACAUAAUCUGGCAACUUGCUCCUGCUGGCAAAGUUAAUUUACAUGCCUAAGUACUGUGUUCAUUGACUGUUUCUUUCUAGGGGGUGGACCACCUGCAAAGCGGCUGUCCCAGGUGGCCGACACUGUCUUUCAAGUCCUGGGACACUCUGAGGUCAGUGUCACCGGGCUGCCAACAGGCAUUGACACGUCAAUGAUGCAGGCCCUUGAAAUGCAGCAAAGCAUUGAGCCAUCACAAGAACCGGGCCCAUCAAGUUUGCCGCCUGAACCAUCUGCAGCUGCUACUCAGGAUAGCCCGGCGGAUCAAACACCAUUCCCAUCCGCAGCACCUGCUCCGUCAGCAUCCCUGCAGGAGAGAAGAUUGCAACUCACAAUUGAUGUGUUUGAACAACAAAAAAAAGUCCUUUCCCUUCAGGAGGAGUACUACCGCCUUAAAAUUGAACACCUAAAAAAUAAACCAUUUAGAGAUUG
Gadus morhua (Atlantic cod) is the source of this 552-nucleotide long non-coding RNA. RefSeq lists it as uncharacterized. The transcript is spliced from 2 exons. Lineage: Eukaryota; Metazoa; Chordata; Actinopteri; Gadiformes; Gadidae. The record is from RefSeq and is a predicted model, not a curated record.